Molecule: ribosomal RNA, 497 nt
Filed under: uncultured bacterium
Lineage: Bacteria
Description: partial 16S ribosomal RNA
Rfam family: Bacterial small subunit ribosomal RNA
Source: RNAcentral
GACGAACGCUGGCGGCGUGCCUAAUACAUGCAAGUAGAACGCUGAAGAGAGGAGCUUGCUCUUCUUGGAUGAGUUGCGAACGGGUGAGUAACGCGUAGGUAACCUGCCUGGUAGCGGGGGAUAACUAUUGGAAACGAUAGCUAAUACCGCAUAAAAUGGAUUAUCGCAUGAUAAUCCAUUGAAAGGUGCAAAUGCAUCACUACCAGAUGGACCUGCGUUGUAUUAGCUAGUUGGUGGGGUAACGGCUCACCAAGGCGACGAUACAUAGCCGACCUGAGAGGGUGAUCGGCCACACUGGGACUGAGACACGGCCCAGACUCCUACGGGAGGAAGCAGUAGGGAAUCUUCGGCAAUGGACGGAAGUCUGACCGAGCAACGCCGCGUGAGUGAAGAAGGUUUUCGGAUCGUAAAGCUCUGUUGUAAGAGAAGAACGAGUGUGAGAGUGGAAAGUUCACACUGUGACGGUAUCUUACCAGAAAGGGACGGCUAACUACGUG